UCCUCGUCGUCGGCCAUCUUGCAAUUGGUCGUCGUUAUAUAUGCUUUUGCAUCGUGCAGUUCUUCAUUCUUGGACAACCUGCCUGCUGGAUAAAAUGGUGAAGCCGGUCAUCGGAUUUCGUAUGCUGGUGCUGCUGCUGGCCUGCUUGUGGUUUGGUGCUGUUUUAGGCUUCCAACAACCGGU
This 183-nucleotide non-coding RNA is filed under the name Heterosigma akashiwo. Lineage: Eukaryota; Raphidophyceae; Chattonellales; Chattonellaceae. The record is from RNAcentral.